UUAUGCUGCUAUUACUCGUGCCGUGAGGUGUUAGGUUAAGUCCUGCAACGAGCGCAACCCCUGUCACUAGUUGCCAUCAUUAAGUUGGGGACUCUAGUGAGACUGCCUACGCAAGUAGAGAGGAAGGUGGGGAUGACGUCAAAUCAUCACGGCCCUUACGCCUUGGGCCACACACGUAAUACAAUGGCCGGUACAGAGGGCAGCUACACAGCGAUGUGAUGCAAAUCUCGAAAGCCGGUCUCAGUUCGGAUUGGAGUCUGCAACUCGACUCUAUGAAGCUGGAAUCGCUAGUAAUCGCGCAUCAGCCAUGGCGCGGUGAAUACGUUCCCGGGCCUUGUACACACCGCCCGUCAAGCCAUGGAAGUCUGGGGUACCUGAAGUCGGUGACCGUAACAGGAGCUUCCUAU
Molecule: ribosomal RNA, 407 nt
Filed under: bacterium 28S123
Lineage: Bacteria
Description: bacterial SSU rRNA
Rfam family: Bacterial small subunit ribosomal RNA
Source: RNAcentral